UGAUUUGCUGUCGAAUGUUCAGUCUGUGGAAUUUGCUCUGACUGUAUGUCUUUUGUCGUUUGGUUACUGUGAAGCAGCCGGCCAGGCUAUUGCUCUCUGAAUAAACUAUUAGCUCUAGGUGGUUUGCUGCGUCUGCCACAAUGAGCAUACUGUUUGGGGAAAAGUUGUCUCAACUUAUAAAUAAGCAUUUUUUUUCUAGGACGAGUGUCACUUUGUUAUUACUACUGAAUUCCUUUCUGCCUGUAUCAUAUUCAUAUUCUGUAAUUGGAGUUACUAGAUGCCAAGUUUUGCUCCAUUAGUCAUGUUAUAUUACUUGCAGUGUGUUGGCAAGCGACCAAUGUUCUGAUCAUCUCGUAGGCGCAUGAAUAACGAACUGCGCGUGGAAUACAUGCUCGAAUCAUUCUUUUGUUUGAUUGAAGAGGCCUAUUUGAUUCUUCAUCCUUAUCUUCUGUGUUUCUGAGCUUAUCUUCUGCAUUUCUGAUUCUUGCAACCACUCCAAUAAUUCAGCAUGGCGGCUCGGUGCCUCAAUAAUUCAUUCAAGGUGUCCGUGCCGGCCUCGUGAGUUAUUGGGUGUAGUAGUAACAUUUUUCGCUUCGUUCUUUUGACAAACGGAGGUUCGUUCUUGCGUGUGCCGGUGUGCGUAUCUAAUCUUGGCGUAAAAAGUGAAGAGCAGCAACCAAGUUGCUCCGUAUCUAAUCUUUUGGGAUGCACCGGAUUGAUGGAUGACGGCGUGACCCGUCGCGGAGAUAUGUGCGAGGGCGACGGCUCCCCGAACCGAUUGUCGGGUACUCAUCGUUUUAUCACGUGAUGACGACUGAACUUAGGCUUGCCGAUAGAUAUGCCGCAAUGUUUUUUACAACCAAGCCGUCUUGUUUCUCGCCGGCCAAGUGAACAAAAAAGGCCGGCCACACGAGGGAGGGAGGCAUCUCCCUUGGCAUAUUCGACAAUUUCUUUUUUACCGACCAAAGAAAUUUCGCUCUUCCUUCUCUCGUUCUCUUUGGCAGAAACGUACGCGGCUGAUGUUUUGUCUCCGCUACGUGCUGUCGCUGUUACACCGAAAAUUUGCGUUGUGAUGAUGUAUGUGAUCCCAACAGGAGUUCGCCGACGCGAUUACUUGGCCCCCCGCCAUCACCAUGAUAUGCUGCGUCCGCAAGAUAGCCGCGGAAUAUGUUCGCCGUCCAGCCAUUGAUCCAUAUCUCCUCCUCCCAACCGCGGAGAUAGAAAGAGCGAGAGAGAUUCCACAGCCUCCUUGCAACCGCAUCGAAUUCCAAAACGCUUUGACCGACGCCGAGAGAUGCUCCGAGGAUUUGUUCUGCGCCGCCGCGGCCACCCCUUUGUUGCCAGGAAACGCGGAGCCUCCCCCGUCCGGCCUCCAGAAACCCGUCCCGGCCGGACGCGUGUAGAUAGAUAGAUGCACCGAGCCGAACUCCCGUCUCGUCUUCUCCACAUACGUUGGACAGGGAAUCAGGGGUUGCGUGGCUGGGCCGGGGAUUGAGUGCUUGGCUCGCACGCUCCGCCGAUGGCUCGGCUCGGCCGUGCAUGUUCCUCUGGCGUGUCCGUGACGCAGACCGGAACCGGAAGCAAGUGGCCAGGAACAAGGCGGAGGCAGCGCCUGCUAGCCCGGAAGUUGCCUGCAAGUUUAGCUCCGUGAGUCCGUGAGUGGACGUGGAAUCCGAACCCCCAUGAUCACUCACCAGCUUCUCCUAUGCUACUGUAUGCAACUGUUUGAUUCGGCUGGGCUUUGCUUGGGCACUGUUUUAUUUCUAUCAGAGGAGGUUAUUUUCAUGCUGUGUUUUUUUACGGGGAGGCAAACUUUAUUAACCGUAUGACCGUUACGUCGUCCGCUAACAGUUUAACAAUGAAAUUCGGCGGGGCAUCAACCGAAAGAGAUGGAUUUUUAUCACGUCCCCAUCUAACAAAUUCAUGAGCUAUAAAAUUUGACUCUAAUACAAUGCUCAACCAUCACCUUCCCAAAAUCUAGUAAAAUACUACGACAAUCGUCAAGCAACAGCGCUGCAGCCAUAGAAUGACCUUCGUUGAAGUUUAUGGCGUCAACUACUGUACUAUUUUAUUUCUAUCAGAGGAGGUAUUUUUCAUGCUGUGUGUGGCGGAGGAGAUUGCACAAAUCAUCAACUUCUGGUGUUGAUUUUGCAUAGAGCACCUAUUUAUGGAUUUGUUGCACGGAACACCAUAUAUUGGUGUAAUCCAUUGCAAUUGGGUCUAAUUCAGCAUUUAGGUAUGUUGAUGAGAUUUAUUUUACGAGUGGGCCUUGCUCGUAAGUGCACACGUGGAAAAUAAAAUCGGUCACAUGAACCAGAAGGUCAAACUAGGAAAUUCCGGUCGCAGUUUUAAUUGGCCCAUUCAGUUUUUUUACUCAAAAUUUCACAUUUUCAGAAAAAUGCAACAAAAUUCAGUAAAUCUAGUACAAUUCUGAGAAAAGCAACUUAUUAGUUGUUCCAUUCGAACUUUGAUUCAAAAAUUCGACAUUGUAAAAAAGGUCAAAAAUCUAGUAAACCGUUAAUAUAGCCAACACUAAGCUGGGAAUAUUUCAACUCAUUGCACUAGAUGUCUGGGUGAUACAGUUUUAGUUAGCUCGUUCAUUUUUUUUGAUUCAAAGUAUUACAUUUCUGAACAAGUGUAGAUUUUUUUAGUAAAUCGUGCGUGUACACAAUACUAAUCUAGAAAAAUUUAAGCUUAGUUGGACCAAACGUUUGGGAGAUAUUGAAAGUUUUAGUUGCGCGGUUGUCGGCUGAUUUUUUUCACGGGUGUACUUAAAAGUGAGGCCCACACAUCACAUCAACGUAUCUAAACGCUGAGCAAGACUGGAACAACAAUUCCGCGCGAGUUCUCUCUCCUAGGGCUCCUGUGACCCACGGGCGAUAGGCGGUUCCUAGGGUUAGAUCACUGAAUGGGCAUGUGUCUUCGAAUCCUAGAUCCGAUUCCUCCCCUCCCGUCCGCCUAUCUCUCUGCCGCAUCUAGACGUAGGCGAUUCCUCUCCUUGCCGUUGUUUGGGGUAAUUCAGGGGUGCUCUUUGGACCGCUACCCACCCUUGGCAGCGUCGGGCUGGGGACUUGCCGACCUCUCGAUGGCGGGGACACGCGAUGGGAUGGGGUCUGAUGGCAGUAUGGGCGCUCCUCGUUUGCUAGGCGGCGGCGGUGACUUCUCCACGACGGCGCCGUCCGGCAAGGGGAAAGCGGCAGAGGUGGAUGGGUUGUCUUCUUUGGGAGCCGGCUCGGCCUUUGCCGAUCGGGUUGAGGACCUGACGGAGAAACUGCGUCUGACUGCGGUUGAGGCGUAACCGGUGAUUCUGGACGAUGAAGAUGAGGUCGAUCUGGUGGCCCCGGAUUGUGCCCUGGUGGGGAAGGUGUUGUCCCCCAAUCUUCUUCAUAUCCAGACGAUCUCAUCGGCAAUGCGGCUGGCGUGGGGUAACCCUAGAGGUUUGUUGUUCCACCCCUCGGGGGACAAUGUCUUUGUGGCUGAAUUUGGUUCCCAGGCCGAUCGUGCCCGGGUGAUCGAGGGCUCGCCAUGGAAGGUGGGCAAGCAUGCAGUGUUGCUAAAGGUUUUUGAUCUGAAUACUUUGCCGUCUCAAGUUCAAUUUGACCACUUGGCGCUUUGGGCUCAUAUUAUGCAUGUUCCUCUGAGGCUUAUGAAGGCCAAACUAGGAAUGGAAUUUGCCAAGCCGAUUGGGAGGAUUCACAAGGUGGAUUCGGAUGCGGAUGGUCGCUGCUGGGGGAGUUUCAUGAGGGUGAGGGCUGAAAUUGCAGUCCAGGAACCAGUGGUUCGUUAUGUUACGGUGACCUCUCUCAAGCUGAAAAGGACGGAGACUUUCUCUGUUGUGUACGAGAGACUGCCUUUUUAUUGCUUAUCUUGUGGCCUCCUUGGUCACUCCUUGGUUCUGUGCCCAAAUCCAGCGACAAGGGACGGGAAUGGUGACCUACCAUAUGCGGCGGAGAAGCUUUGUGUUGCUAAUGAUCAUUUGAAAAGAUCUGGAGGCUCUAGGUCCAACUCGGCCCCUUCUUCGGCUGCGGGUAUUGGCUCGUCUAGGAAUGUUCGAUCGGGUGACCCUGGUCAGGAUAGGGCUGCUGCUCAAGGGGGUCCGGGUGCCUCUGAAGGUGAGGUUUCCUCUCCCAACAGACGUGGUGGCUCUACUCAUGGUCGGGGGAGGUCCAACCGUGGCAGAGGAAGAGAUCGCACCGGUGAUUCGGGGCGUGAGCUUUUAUCCUUCAACUCAGAAUAGCAAGUCCAACACAGCGGGACGGAAAAGGAAGUUAGCCAAAGCCCAUGCCUCCUCUCCGCUUCAAGGCCAGGGGGAUGAUAAUGCCUUAGCCCUUGUUGUUGUGCCAGGAGAGCCUGUGGGUACUGCAGAUGAUGUACAUAAUUCUGAUAUGGAUUCCAAUAAGAAGCAAUAUGUUUCAAACAACCAAUCAGCGGAUCCGGCGCAGCCCCGCUAGACGCAGUGACUAUCUUAUGUUGGAGCUGUCGAGGUUUGGGGUUGGACUCGACAGUUGGCGAGCUUCGCUGGCUUGUGAAGCUACACCGACCCUCCCUCCUCUUUCUGUCUGAAACGAAGAUGAGGGACACCCGUGUGAAGAAUUUUAUGUGGUCUCUAGGGUUUUCUGGUUGCUAUGUUGUUAGUUUUGUGGGACUCAGCGGUGGCCUUGCUUUGUUCUGGAAGGCCUCGACAAAGGUUACUGUGAAGGCUGCCAAUAAGCGUUUCAUUGAUGUUCAUGUGAAGAUUGAUGAGGGGGUGGCCUGGCGUGCCACCUUUGUGUAUGGGGAGCCAAGGAGAGAAGAUAUGUAUCUGUUUUGGGAGCUCCUCAAACGAUUACAUCCAUUGUGGGAUGGACCGUGGUUAUGUUGUGGAGACUUCAACGAGGUCUUGGCUAAGGACGAACAUUGUGGCCCUUGAGAUCGGUCUGAAUCUCAAAUCAUAGCUUUCCGGGAUUGCUUGAUGGAUUGUUGCUUGACUGAUCUGGGCUUCUCUGGACCGAAGUUAACUUGGAGCAAUAAACAAGACCCGAAUUGUCAUGUUAAGUGUCGCCUGGAUAGAGCUAUGGCGAAUGGAGCUUUUUCUAGUCUGUUUGAUGGAUGCGGGGUGGAGAAUCUUAUUGCAACUUCUUUGGAUCACUACCCCAUGCUGGUCCUGCUAGGUGGCAGUACCCAACAACCUCGUCCGGCUCCGGUCCAGCAGGGCUUCCUCUUUGAAGAGAUGUGGCUUUGGGCUGAUGAUUACAAAGAAACUCUUGAGCAAGCGUGGGAUGAGGGGAGGGAUGGCUAUCCUUCUCUCCGGCCAACUUGGGCCAAUCGCAAGCAUGUGGCUGGCUCUUUGCGCUCCUGGAGCAAGGAGGCCUUCGUUUUAUCCGGAAGCGGAUUGGGCGUCUGGAGCGCCGUAUUGCUACCAUUAGGGCUUCACAGCCCUCUCCUUCCUUGAUGGAGGAGGAAUGCUCGAUUGAGGGUCAACUCUGUGAGCUAUUCGAGAGGGAAAAAUAAUGGAGCGGCAGCGUUCCCGCGUUGAUUGGUUGAAGGCUGGGGGACCGCAACACAGACUUCUUCUAUGCUAGAGCUUCGGCGUGCAGACGUACAAAUCAGAUCCACUCUCUUGUGCGCGAAGACGGUUCCAGCUGCAACUCUCAGGCGGGAAUCAAAGGUGUGGUCCAAGGGUUCUAUGACAAGUUAUUUUCUCUGAACCUUGCAGCGCAGCUGUCACGCCCAAGAUGCGACCCUAUCCUAAAGGAACUGGAAGGUCCCACCAAGGAUAGAAGCGCAUCUUGAAGACGCUUUUGCAAGGUGGAUAUCAUUACAUCAACAUUACAUAAUAGAUGGAGAUACAUACAAAAGGCAAACAAUGCCACACAAGUACAACAUCACAAUACAUAAGAGCAUCAUCUGACUAUGAAUGAAACACAAACAGAAACUCAAACGACAUCCACCUGCCAGCCCAGGCUGCCGACCUGGAACCUAUCCCCUGAUCGAAGAAGAAGCAGAAGACAAAACUCCAAAACAAGCAAGCAUCGCUCUCGCGUCAAGAUCAUCAUAUAACCUGUACCUGCAACUGUUGUUGUAGUAAUCUGUGAGCCACGAGGACUCAGCAAUCCCAUUACCAUGGGUAUCAAGACUAGCAAAGCUUAAAGGGUAAGGAAGGGGUAAAGUGGUGAGGCUGCAGCAACGACUAAGCAUGAUAUGGCGGCUAACAUACGCAAAUAAGAGCGAGAAGAGAAGCAAAGGAAUGGUCGUGAAGCUAGCAAUGAUCAAGAGGUGAUCCUGAACUCCUACUUACGUCAAACAUAACCCAAAACCGUGUUCACUUCCCGGACUCCGCCGAAAAGAGACCAUCAUGGCUACACACACGGUUGAUGCGUUUUAAUUCGGAUCUGGUGUCAAGUUAUGUACAACCGGACAUUAACAAAUUCCCAUCCGCCGCAUAACCGCGGACACGGCUUUCGAACGUUUAUACCCUGCAGGGGUGCCCGAACUUAGCCCAUGAUAAGCUCUCACAGUCAACGAAGGAUAUUCCUUCUCCCGGGAAGACCCGAUCAGUCUCAAAAUCCCGGUUACAAGACAUUUCGACAAUGGUAAAACAAGACCAGCAAAGCCGCCCGAAUGUGCCGACAAAUCCUGAUAGGAGCUGCACAUAUCUCGUUCUCAGGGCACACCGGAUGAGCAGUCCGUACAACUAAAACCAGACCUCAAGUUUCCCUGAGGGGGCGCUGCAAAGGGCUCUGGUUCGGACCAGCACUUAGAGAAGCACUGGCCCGGGGGGGCUAAAAUAAAGAUGACCCUCGGGCUCCGGAAACCCAAAGGAAAAAGGGCUAGGUGAGGCAAAUGGUAAAACCAAGGUUGGGCCUUGCUGGAGGAGUUUUAUUCAAAACGAAUUGUCAAGGGGGUCCCAUAAAUCACCCAACCGCGUAAGGAACGCAAAAUCCGGGAACAUAACACCGGUAUGACGUAAACUAGGGCGGCAAGAGUGGAACAAAACACCAGGCAUAAGGCCGAGUCUUCCACCCUUUACCAAGUAUAUAGAUGCAUUAAUAAUAUAAGAGAUAUUGUGAUAUCCCAACAUAAUCCUGUCCAUCACGGGGCAAUCUUCAACUUCACCUGCAACUAACAACGCUAUAAGAGGGGCUGAUAAAAGCGGUAACAUAGCCAAACAACGGUUUGCUAGGAAGGGUGAAAAAGGUUAGAGGCUGACAUGGCAAUUUGGGAGGCUUGAAGAGCAAGUGAUAGGUAGCGCAGCAAGCGAUAGAACGAAGCAACUAGCAUAGCAAUGAUAGUAGUGAGAUCCAGGGUAGCAGUCAUCUUGCCUGAAAUCCCGCUAGGAAGAAGAACGAGUCCAUGAAGAAGAUGAAGCCACGAAGAUGAACCAAGCGUAGACGAACGAAUCCUCAUGAUCGCAACAAAACGGGAACUAUCGAGAAGAAGCACACAACAUGGUAAACACACCUCACAUAGACAAGACAUGAUGCACAACAAGCAUGAUGCAAGAGAAGACUACAUGAAGCUACUCAUGGCAAGAGAUGAUGCAAACAAGAGCAACACAUCAAGGCAAGUUUAAAUGAGGCCGGGAACAACAUAUAAAAAUUCCGGUAAGUCCUCAUAUGCAAAUUUCGAAAUUGGUCCAGAUCUGAAUAAACCUUAUGUUCAAGUUGUUAAACAGCAAGUUAAUAUGCACCAAGAUGAUCUACACGAGAUUCUAGUCAAGUUACAUAUAAAGUUCAUUUAGUUCGGAGCUACGCCCUAGAAGAUAUGAGCAAAACAAGUUAAACAUGGCAUUGAUGCAAAAUGCAUACAAACAUCAAGCAAAGACUCUCAAAACAUGGAUGCAACAUGAUAAUAUGAAGCUACAUGCAAUUUUAAGCAAGUUUCAUAUAGAGCACACUCAAAACGGAGCAACGGUUCAACACAUACACCCUAUACAAGUUAUAGCAACAAUCUGUCCAAAACAGCAACUAGGCAUCUAGAAAGCAUCAAAACAAUAUGAUACAGCAACUCAACAUGAUAACAAAAGGCAUGGGAAUGAUGUACAGGUAAAGCAUAACAAAACAUGAACACUGUGCUAUCUCCAGAAAUCACUAGAACAUGCUCAAAAAGACAUGGCAAGAUUGCAAAUAAUAACAGUUUACAGGCUUAGCAGAAAUAACAUCAGGUUGCAAUGUUCAGAGCUAUCAAACAACAUGCUACGGGAACUUAUCAUGGCAAACAAAGGCAUGGCAUGAAUCUACUAAUUGCAUAGAACAAAAGUCCUUUACUGACCAUGAGCCAAAAGGGCACAGAAAAUAUGAUGGCACCCAUGUAAACAUGGCAAAUGAUAUGACAGAUUCAAACAUGGCAGGAACAACGAUAAGUAGGCAUGUUGGUGAGCUUGUACCACUCACCACAGAGCAUUACAUGGCAUGAAAAGGCAACCAAUAGUAAGAAGACAUGUUUAUGAAGCUAAUGGCAAGAGCAAGUUCAUAGGGUGCAUGGAUCACUAGCAAAACACAUGGAAAAACUGAACUUAAAGUUAACAGACUGACAGCAAUAUUAUUUAGCAACUUUGGAGCAAGAAUACAACAAGCUAUAGCAGGCUAUAAAUGAAACCAGGGGCAAUUAUGGAUAGAUCAUGACAUGUAUAACAAAACAUCCUUAGUGAACAUCUCCAUAUUAUGCAUAGAAUGACUUGUAGAAGCAGGUUUACAUAGCAUCACCAAAUAACAGAUUCAGCCUAGCAAAAUAGCAACAACAAGUACCAUACUUCACAAGCUUGAUGCACUCACUACAAGACUCACAAAAAUACAUGGAUUGCACCCCUGUAAAGAUUGCAUGACAUAGCUCAAAACUCAUGUAGGACUCGUGCUCAUAAGAUGCACACACAAAAUGCAACAAAAAUGACAAAUCAGCAAGUUCCGUUAACAGACAGCAGUUAACAUCACAUAGCAUUCUUGCAACAAUGAUUCAGGCAUCAAGAUAAACUCAAACAAGCAUGGCACAAUGUAACAAAAUGAAUAGCAUCUCAUGAUGAACAUUUUGAUAUAUCACACGCACGAAACGGAGCUACAUGCACAGAGUUAUGAUGCAAUGAACAUGGGCACAAAAUGUUGAAAACUUAGGGACUUGGAAGAAUUUCGGGGUCAACCUCGAGCUGGAUCUGGAUCUCGGGGCUCGUCGCACGGACUUCGAGGCGGCCGGAGCUUCGCCGGAGACGGGGCCGGAGAGGAGGGAGAUGGCGGUCGGCGAGGGCGGGGCUACCGGAUCCGGGCGGCGCGGAUCCAUCCCGGCCGGAUCCAUGGCCGCCGGGGGCGGGGCGGGCGACGGCGCUCGGAGGCGGCGACGCGGAUCUGCAGCUCCGGCGAGGGAGGCGGGGCGGAACACNNNNNNNNNNNNNNNNNNNNNNNNNNNNNNNNNNNNNNNNNNNNNNNNNNNNNNNNNNNNNNNNNNNNNNNNNNNNNNNNNNNNNNNNNNNNNNNNNNNNNNNNNNNNNNNNNNNNNNNNNNNNNNNNNNNNNNNNNNNNNNNNNNNNNNNNNNNNNNNNNNNNNNNNNNNNNNNNNNNNNNNNNNNNNNNNNNNNNNNNNNNNNNNNNNNNNNNNNNNNNNNNNNNNNNNNNNNNNNNNNNNNNNNNNNNNNNNNNNNNNNNNNNNNNNNNNNNNNNNNNNNNNNNNNNNNNNNNNNNNNNNNNNNNNNNNNNNNNNNNNNNNNNNNNNNNNNNNNNNNNNNNNNNNNNNNNNNNNNNNNNNNNNNNNNNNNNNNNNNNNNNNNNNNNNNNNNNNNNNNNNNNNNNNNNNNNNNNNNNNNNNNNNNNNNNNNNNNNNNNNNNNNNNNNNNNNNNNNNNNNNNNNNNNNNNNNNNNNNNNNNNNNNNNNNNNNNNNNNNNCGGUAGACGGCUGCGGCGGCGCGACCAGUGGCGUGGCGCCAAGUGGCGCUGAGGAGGUGGCCGGCGGCGGAAUUUGAGGUGGAGGUGGCAGAGAUCCCGAGGAGGAGGGGGAUUGGCUGCGGCUGGGGUUAGGGAAGGGGUAGGAUGCCCAAAAUGGAAGGAGGAGGGGUUUAAAAUGGUAGGGGUUAGGGUUAGAGGGUGCUAAGGGGGGUUUUUGGAGCCAGAUCGGACGGUUCCGGACGCGAGGGGGGUAGGCUGGGCCUAGGAGGGGUUAGUGGGCUGUGCUAGAAAGGCCAGGGGAUGAAGCAGAGAAGAGAGAGAGAGAGAGUCCCGACAGUAGUUUCGGAGACCGAAACGUCCGACGAAUAUACCAGCUAUAUCGCGGUUAUAUAUUUAACGGUUGGGUAGUCAAACGAACUCCGAAUGCGACUAAAUUUGGCAGACGGCCUGUCUACACUAUAAUAAGACCGCACACCAACUCUCACCCCAUUCCGAGAACAUUUUUAUGCCACUUAUAAAAUAAUAUUUCGGAGGUGCUGCGGGCGCGUGCGAGUGUGGUCGGGCUCAGAACGGACAACGGAGAGAAACGAGGGAACCCGAAUGGAUGCAAGUUUGAAAAACAUGCAGAUGAAAUGCAGAUGAUGACAUGGAAAAAUGCAACACGCAAGCAAAUGACAUGGCAACGACGGUGAAUAACUGGCAGACACCUGGCGCAUCAAAUUCGGGGUGUUACAGCAGCCGAUCGUGUUUCUGAUGCAAUCCCUCAUAAGAUCACACCGGAGAUGAAUAAAGAUCUUUGCAGGUCGUACACUAAUGAGGAAAUUAAACUUGCUUUGUUCCAGAUGGACCCUACUAAAGCUCCCAGACCCGACGGAUUUCCGGCCCUCUUCUAUCAAACACAUUGGAACUUUCUGGAAGAGGAUAUUUGUCAAGCUGUCCGGGGUUUUCUUGAAGGCCGGCAAAUUCCUGAGGGUUUCUGUGACUCGGAGAUUGUUCUUAUUCCCAAGACAUCGAGACAGAAACACCUAAAGAACUUCCGCCCAAUUAGCCUUUGCAACGUGCUCUACAAAAUUGCUUCCAAGGUCCUUGCCAACCGUCUGAAAGUGUUGCUGCCUGUUGUGAUCUCUGAAAGUCGGAGUGCCUUUGUUCCUGGGAGAUUGAUCACUGACAAUACUUUGAUUUCUUAUGAGUGUCUUCAUACUAUUCGAAAGCAGCGGAUAAAGCAGCCCUUGUUUGCUCUAAAGAUAGACAUGAUGAAAGCAUAUGACCGGGUUGAAUGGAGCUAUUUGCAUGCCUGUCUAUCGAAGUUGGGCUUUGCUACUUCAUGGAUCGAUACCAUCAGGAGAUGUGUCACCAAUGUCUACUAUGCAGUCAGGGCUAAUGGUGAACUUACUAAUCCUGUGGUACCUUCACGGGGUAUCCGGCAAGGGGAUCCAAUAAGCCCCUACCUCUUCCUCUUGUGCACCGAGGGUUUGUCUAGUUUGCUGUUCCAAAAGGAGUGUUGUGGCGAGCUACAUGGGAUAAAAAACAGCCGACAAGGCCCUCCUAUCUCACACCUCCUAUUUGUAGACGAUAGCAUCUUCUUUGCUAAGGGUGAUCAGCGUAGUGUGGAUUCAUUGGAAUCGGUGCUGCACAUGUACUGUGAAGGGGUCAAGCAAUCAACAAAGAGAAAUCAUCUAUUUUCUUUGGUCGGAACUGUCCGGACAACGUUAAGGAUAGAGUGAAGAACCACUUGGGUAUCCAGAAUGAGACCUUUCAUGACUCAUAUCUUGGUAUGCCAACUGAGGUUGGUAACUCUCCAACAAGUACUUUCAAGUUUUUGACUGGCAAAAUAUCUUUGGUUGGGCUGACAGACCACUAUCUAGAGCUGGCAAUGAAACCUUGCUGAAAUCCAUCACUCAGGCCAUUCUGACCUUUGUUUCGAGUUGUUUUCAUCUUCCUGUCGCUACGUGUGAGAAGUUUAGGCAGACUGUGUCUAAUCAAUGGUGGGGCAGGGAGGGUGGAAGGAAAAAGAUGCAUUGGAGGUCCUGGGCAUGGCUAUCGACCCCGAAGUCCUUGGCAUGGGUUUCCGUGACAUGACCUUGUUCAACUAAGCUCUCUUGGGCAAACAGGGAUGGGGGUUACUGACCGAGCCUAACUCACUGUGUGCCCAUGUUUUGAAGGGUCAAUACUUCCCCAACAACGAUUUCUGGAAUGCCUCGGUACCAAGAUCUGCUUCUGCUACUUGGAGGGGCAUCAUUCAUGACAGUGAUCUAUUGAAGCGCGGGGUUCAGUGGGUGAUUGGUGAUGGUCGACACACACGCAUUCUAUCGGAUCACUGGAUCCCAUCCACUCCACCUGCCUUGGUUCAACCUCCCUCGCCGAUCCCAUCGACCGCGACAGUGCAUUGUCUUAUUGAUGAAGAAAGGGGGGCGUGGGAUGAAGAUUUUGUGCGAGCCUUCUUUCCUAAAAGGGUGGUAGAGGAUAUUCUUCUCGUUCAUGUUAACAGGAAUGACGGUACUAAUUUUGCUCGUUGGCCGUUCACGAGAUUGGGAGAGUACACCGUCAAGUCAACGUAUAAUUUGGCAAGAACUGAUCUUAUUAUAUCGAGCAGGAGUAACCGUGGGCUGGGUUUGAACUCACGUAUGGCUAAGGAUGAGAAGAUGUGGAAGGCUCUGUGGUGAAUCAAAGCCCCCAAUAAAAUGAAGAUUGUACUUUGGCGCCUCAAGCAUGAUUGUCUGCCUUCUGGUGACCAGCUUCGGAGGCGCCAGGUUCCAGCGAGAUCAGAUUAUUUCUUUGGUGGUCGGCUGGAAAGUGUUGAGCACGCGCUGCUAUUUUGCCCACAUGCUAGGGCUGUCUAGGACGGGGUCAAGGAGUUCUUCGAUGUUCACCUUCGCAGGUUGUCCUUCUCCACUCCAAAGCAAUGGCUGUUCGAAUUCCUGACUUUUUGCUCUAACUAGGAGGCGAAUGUUCUAAUGGUUUCCAUCUGGCACAUAUGGGAGGCUCGCAAUGCCGCAAGGAAUGAGCCCGUUGGUCCUCCUCCUAGGAGUACGGCUGCUAGAAUCAAGGCUUAUACAAACCUCAUUGUUUAGCAUCUCUUCAAUCCUGUACUUGCUCCCAGGCGUGAGACCUCUUCUUCUGUCCGUCUUUGGUCUCCGCCGCCGCAAGGUACUGGGGUGUUGUGUUCUCUGACGCCGUUGUUUGUGAUGAUCUGGGCAUUUCCAGCGUUGUUGUGGUGAUUCUCAACCAUGAGGGGAAUUGGGUGGCCGCGUGCUCUGAAUCUUUAAGGGGUGUGUGAUCACCGGAGUUGGCUGAAUCAAUGGCUCUCCGGCACGCUACCAGCUUAGGCCAGGAGGAGGCACUACAAAAAAAAAGA
This 13203-nucleotide long non-coding RNA is filed under the name Triticum aestivum (bread wheat). Its description in RNAcentral is "long non-coding RNA (TAES_LNC022779)". Lineage: Eukaryota; Viridiplantae; Streptophyta; Magnoliopsida; Poales; Poaceae. The record is from RNAcentral.